AAAGGGCAACAUUUAUCAUUAUAUCUUCACAUUUCAACUACAUAUUUCAAAUGGAAAACAAGCAUGUACUUCACAGAUCAUUCAUGGUCCAAGGAAUACCUGGAUAUCAAAACAAAGCAAAAUGGAGUGAGGAUUUCAGCAAAAGCAAAAAUAUGAGCACAUCAACAGCAAGAUUCAGCUUCUUUGAACUCUCUUUAAACCCAGAAAACCAGAAAUUUCAUGAAAGCUCUUUAAAUUCUAAAAGAAAAAUCAGAAAACCAUUCGAGCCAGUAAUGCAGAAACUUUUUUUUAUGUGUAUUUUCUAGGGUCUGAAUCUCUGAAUGUGUGUAUCAUUUUCAGAAUGAUAGUGUCUAUAUAUAGGCUGCCUAGGGUGGGUAUUUUUUAUGAACAUUCCUUAUCCUAAUUUUGAAAAUAGUAGUGUCCUUCCUCACAGCCCUGGUACAACUGUCCUUCUUAUCCUAUUUUCAGCAUCUUUUCUAAUAGAAAUGGAAUAACUAUCAACCUCUAAUUGGUUUCAACAUUUUUGUACUGGCCAAAUAGGGCCAGCUGCCCCAAGUUCUAAAAGCUCCUAACACUAACCUUAUCUUAAAGUCCUAUUUCUAUUUCCCAAAUUAAUCACUAAGUUUUCAUUUGUUCAAUUAAGACCCUAGGAGUUUCUACCAAUUUACAAAUCAUGGCAAACAAAACAAAACCAGAAGGGAUCAAAAAUUCAAAUUAAAUUGCCUAACAAAAUCAUGAUGCUGGAAUUCAAACCUAAAAACUAAAUCAAUCAGUAAAUAGAAUUGUUUACCUAAUUAAACCUAACAAAAACUGAAUUUAAAUAAACACAAAAUGACAAACAAAGGAAAAAACAUGGCAAUACACAUGAACCCUAACAAUUAACUUAAUGAAACCACAAUGUAUUCAAUCUAAAACUAGAAUGGACCUGCAAAAAUGAGCAUGGAGCAUAAGAUAAAAGCAUGAAAGAAACAACGAAAUAAUUUCAAUGUGUCAAACCUAAAAAAUGAAUCCUAAUUAAACUAAUUUUAUGCCAUUGAAGAUAAAUUUCAAAUACUAAGAUACCAAUGUUUUAAUUAACCUAAUAAACAAAAACAAACAGACAAACCAAAAAGCCAUGAACAACAGGAAAGAAAACCUAAAAUUGCAAAAUUAAAAUAUGCAGCCAAAAUACAAAUAAUUAGACAUGCAGAAGAGGAACCAAAGAUAAAACAAACAAAAAAAAGAGAAAGAAAUUUACCUAAGCAUUUUAUUAAUACUGGAGCAGUUAUGAACUCGUUCAAACUUCCAAAAGGGGGGGGGAUAUGAACUUGUUUAUCCUUUAGUUGACUGUUCUUUGUCAAGAACAGUCAGCUAAUGGGCGUUUUGGGUUCAUGUAACCCGUCCUUAACCAAAAAUCAAAAAGGCGGAAUUAGGGUUUUCAGAAUCUUUGAUUCAAGAUUCGAAAAGAUUUGGGUUGAUUCGAAAGGAACUAUGGGGAUAUUUGGGUAUAGGAGUAGAAGGUGAUUACAGGGUAUAAUUUUGGUGGGGUUUGGUGCACCGGAAUCGCCGUGAGGCAAUUUUCGGUGGGUGGUUAAUGGUGGAGGCGGCGAAGGCAUAAGGGGGCGGCUGGUCUCUAGGGUUUGGGUGAGACUGAAUGAAGG
Molecule: long non-coding RNA, 1640 nt
Filed under: Nicotiana tabacum (common tobacco)
Lineage: Eukaryota; Viridiplantae; Streptophyta; Magnoliopsida; Solanales; Solanaceae
Description: long non-coding RNA (NTAB_LNC005966)
Source: RNAcentral